UAGGGAAUCUUCGGCAAUGGGGGCAACCCUGACCGAGCAACGCCGCGUGAGUGAAGAAGGUUUUCGGAUCGUAAAGCUCUGUUGUAAGUCAAGAACGGGUGUGAGAGUGGAAAGUUCACACUGUGACGGUAGCUUACCAGAAAGGGACGGCUAACUACGUGCCAGCAGCCGCGGUAAUACGUAGGUCCCGAGCGUUGUCCGGAUUUAUUGGGCGUAAAGCGAGCGCAGGCGGGUUGAUAAGUCUGAAGUUAAAGGCUGUGGCUCAACCAUAGUUCGCUUUGGAAACUGUCAAACUUGAGUGCAGAAGGGGAGAGUGGAAUUCCAUGUGUAGCGGUGAAAUGCGUAGAUAUAUGGGGGAACACCGGUGGCGAAAGCGGCUCUCUGGUCUGUAACUGACGCUGAGGCUCGAAAGCGUGGGGAGCGAACAGG
This 429-nucleotide ribosomal RNA is filed under the name Bacillota bacterium. RNAcentral's name for it is "Firmicutes bacterium partial 16S ribosomal RNA". It matches the Rfam family "Bacterial small subunit ribosomal RNA", at positions 355 to 776 of the family's 1533-position model. The record is from RNAcentral. Lineage: Bacteria; Bacillati; Bacillota.